RNAcentral lists this transfer RNA (20 nucleotides) under Potamogeton wrightii. RNAcentral's name for it is "partial tRNA-His". The record is from RNAcentral. Lineage: Eukaryota; Viridiplantae; Streptophyta; Magnoliopsida; Alismatales; Potamogetonaceae.
AUGUAGCCAAUUGGAUCAAG